GGAUAACGUGCCCUUGGGACCGGCAUAACCCCGGGAAACUGGGGAUAAUUCCGGAUAACGCAUAUUUGCUGGAAUGCUUUAUGCGUCAAAAGGAUUCGUCUGCCCAAGGAUGGGUCUGCGGCCUAUCAGGUAGUAGUGGGUGUAAUGUACCUACUAGCCAGCGACGGGUACGGGUUGUGAGAGCAAGAGCCCGGAGAUGGAUUCUGAGACAUGAAUCCAGGCCCUACGGGGCGCAGCAGGCGCGAAAACUUUACAAUGCGGGAAACCGUGAUAAGGGGACACCGAGUGCCAGCAUCAUAUGCUGGCUGUCCGGAUGUGUAAAAUACAUCCGUUAGCAAGGGCCGGGCAAGACCUGUGCCAGCCGCCGCGGUAACACCGGCGGCCCGAGUGGUGAUCGUGAUUAUUGGGUCUAAAGGGUCCGUAGCCGGUUUGGUCAGUCCUCCGGGAAAUCUGAUAGCUCAACUAUUAGGCUUUCGGGGGAUACUGCCAGACUUGGAACCGGGAGAGGUAAGAGGUACUACAGGGGUAGGAGUGAAAUCUUGUAAUCCCUGUGGGACCACCUGUGGCGAAGGCGUCUUACCAGAACGGGUUCGACGGUGAGGGACGAAAGCUGGGGGCACGAACCGGAUUAGAUACCCGGGUAGUCCCAGCCGUAAACGAUGCUCGCUAGGUGUCAGGCAUGGCGCGACCGUGUCUGGUGCCGCAGGGAAGCCGUGAAGCGAGCCACCUGGGAAGUACGGCCGCAAGGCUGAAACUUAA
Molecule: ribosomal RNA, 759 nt
Filed under: uncultured Methanosarcina sp.
Lineage: Archaea; Methanobacteriati; Methanobacteriota; Methanomicrobia; Methanosarcinales; Methanosarcinaceae
Description: bacterial SSU rRNA
Rfam family: Archaeal small subunit ribosomal RNA
Source: RNAcentral